GCCAGGUGCAGUGGCCCACACCUAUAAUCCCAGCAGCUCAGGAGGCUGAGACAGGAGGAUCAUGAGUUCAAAGCCAGCCUCAGCAAGGUGAGGCACUAAAUAACUUAGUGAGACCCUGUCUCU
RNAcentral lists this small RNA (123 nucleotides) under Marmota monax (woodchuck). The record is from RNAcentral. Lineage: Eukaryota; Metazoa; Chordata; Mammalia; Rodentia; Sciuridae.